UACGGAGGGGGCUAGCGUUGUUCGGAAUUACUGGGCGUAAAGCGCACGUAGGCGGCUUUGUAAGUUAGAGGUGAAAGCCUGGAGCUCAACUCCAGAAUUGCCUUUAAGACUGCAUCGCUUGAACACGGGAGAGGUGAGUGGAAUUCCGAGUGUAGAGGUGAAAUUCGUAGAUAUUCGGAAGAACACCAGUGGCGAAGGCGGCUCACUGGCCCAUAACUGACGCUGAGGCACGAAAGCGUGGGGGAGCAAACAGG
Molecule: ribosomal RNA, 254 nt
Filed under: uncultured bacterium
Lineage: Bacteria
Description: partial 16S ribosomal RNA
Rfam family: Bacterial small subunit ribosomal RNA
Source: RNAcentral